Molecule: non-coding RNA, 871 nt
Organism: Rattus norvegicus (Norway rat)
Lineage: Eukaryota; Metazoa; Chordata; Mammalia; Rodentia; Muridae
Source: RefSeq, a predicted model, not a curated record
UUUAUAUUGUUCACCCUGAAGAUAAGCACCUGGUCAAACCACCUCUGCAUGUCCCCGCUGUGCCAUAUCCAUUUACAGACUGAGGAGACCAGGCUGAUUCCACCACAGACUUCAAGUUGGCAGUUAAGGAGACUAAGCUAAGAACUGGGCAAGUCCAGGCAGGUCAACUACUAAUAGAAAAAACCCAGGCUCCAGCCUUCAUGACAAGGUAAUGGAAUGUCCCAGCCACCGGGCCUGAGGCAAGGACAAUGGGUCAGCAGUUUCCAGACUUCCUCAGCUUCUUCCUCACUGUCUUUCAGUCUUUGAAAGGCUUGGAGUCAGGAAAGGCUCGAGUUGCUCAUUAUACAGCAAGAGUGAGGCAGAAGUGGACUUACUGUGCAGCAUAACUCACCCUGUGCUAGAAGAUGUUCGCAUGCAGAAAGGAACAAGGGGAGUGUUCCCAGCCAGAAGUUCCUAGGAUGCGCAACAACACGGGGAGAGAAAAAAGGGAUACCGGCAGAUUUUAGCCCGGAAGAACAGUCUGGCUGGGGACCGAACCCAGGGCCUUGCGCUUGCUAGAACCUACCUAUGCGUCUGAAGGAGAGAGUCACCACCCGCCCGCAAGCUGGCCUCUGACCUUCACGGAGAAGCCACACCAUGUGCACACUCAAAGAAUAAAAGAAUAAAUGAGGGCUGGAGAGAUGACUCAGCAGCUAAGAGCACUGACUGCUCUUCCAGACGUCCUGAGUUCAAUUCUCAGCAACCACAUGUCGACUCACAACCAUCUGUAAUGGGAUGCGAUGCCCUCUUCUGCUGUGUCUGAAGACAGCGACAGUGUACUCACAUACAAAUAAAUAAAUAAAUCUUUAAAAAGAAAAGAAAAAAGAAUAAA